GGGCAGUAUCAUUUUGAACUGCACCUUGUUUGAAAUCUUUUUAAAAUGAAUAAUGUUCUGCCUAGAUCCAAGUGGACAGGGACAGAGGG
This 89-nucleotide non-coding RNA is filed under the name Robertmurraya massiliosenegalensis. RNAcentral's name for it is "pan motif". It matches the Rfam family "pan motif". The record is from RNAcentral. Lineage: Bacteria; Bacillati; Bacillota; Bacilli; Caryophanales; Bacillaceae.